CCCUUAGAUGUUCUGAACCGCACGCGUGUUACAAUGAUGUGUUCAACGAGCAUAUAACCUUGGCCGAGAGGCCUGGGCAAUCUUUUUAAUGCACAUCGUGUUAGGGAUAGAUUAUUGCAAUUAUUAAUCUUGAACGAGGAAUUCCUAGUAAACGCAGAUCAUCAAUCUGCAUUGAUUACGUCCCUGCCCUUUGUACACACCGCCCGUCGCACCUACCGAUUGGAUGGUCCGGUGAAGCCUCGGGAUUGUGGUUCUUGCCGCUUUAUUGUGGCGUGACCGCGAGAACUUGUCUAAACCUUAUCAUCUAGAGGAAGGUGAAGUCGUAACA
This 328-nucleotide ribosomal RNA is filed under the name uncultured eukaryote. RNAcentral describes it as "partial 18S ribosomal RNA". It matches the Rfam family "Eukaryotic small subunit ribosomal RNA", at positions 1470 to 1796 of the family's 1831-position model. The record is from RNAcentral.